This is a long non-coding RNA of Arachis duranensis, 187 nucleotides long. RefSeq lists it as uncharacterized. The transcript has 3 exons. NCBI's taxonomy places the organism in Eukaryota, Viridiplantae, Streptophyta, Magnoliopsida, Fabales, Fabaceae. The record is from RefSeq and is a predicted model, not a curated record.
UUACUCUUGCUUAUGUGAAGCUUGGGUAAGGUUGUGAAUAAAUAAUUGGAGCUUGAAAUUGUGAAUACUGGAACUUGGAGGAAGCAGAUUAGUUGAGGUUUUGAGGGCUGUGUUCUUUUAGGAAAAUUGUCUUGGAAUAAUACUUGGGAAUCGGCUAAGAUGCAGGUCGAGAGGCAUCUCGUUAGGC